Molecule: ribosomal RNA, 429 nt
Filed under: Bacillota bacterium
Lineage: Bacteria; Bacillati; Bacillota
Description: Firmicutes bacterium partial 16S ribosomal RNA
Rfam family: Bacterial small subunit ribosomal RNA
Source: RNAcentral
UAGGGAAUCUUCGGCAAUGGACGGAAGUCUGACCGAGCAACGCCGCGUGAGUGAAGAAGGUUUUCGGAUCGUAAAGCUCUGUUGUUAGAGAAGAACGUUGGUAGGAGUGGAAAAUCUACCAAGUGACGGUAACUAACCAGAAAGGGACGGCUAACUACGUGCCAGCAGCCGCGGUAAUACGUAGGUCCCGAGCGUUGUCCGGAUUUAUUGGGCGUAAAGCGAGCGCAGGCGGUUCUUUAAGUCUGAAGUUAAAGGCAGUGGCUUAACCAUUGUACGCUUUGGAAACUGGAGGACUUGAGUGCAGAAGGGGGGAGUGGAAUUCCAUGUGUGGCGGUGAAAUGCGUAGAUAUAUGGAGGAACACCGGUGGCGAAAGCGGCUCUCUGGUCUGUAACUGACGCUGAGGCUCGAAGGCGUGGGGAGCAAACAGG